UUCCGUAGGUGAAACGUGCGGAAGG
This 25-nucleotide ribosomal RNA is filed under the name [Coniosporium] sp. MA4984. RNAcentral's name for it is "Coniosporium sp. MA4984 partial 18S ribosomal RNA". The record is from RNAcentral. Lineage: Eukaryota; Fungi; Ascomycota; Eurotiomycetes; Chaetothyriales; Herpotrichiellaceae.